This is a non-coding RNA of Myodes glareolus (Bank vole), 490 nucleotides long. The record is from RefSeq and is a predicted model, not a curated record. Lineage: Eukaryota; Metazoa; Chordata; Mammalia; Rodentia; Cricetidae.
CCUCUUUUUGUCUUGUUUUGUUUUCUUUUCUCAUUUAGCUCAGCUGAGGAACUCACCAUCUGUGAACAGUGAAAUUCAACUCAGGAAUUAAGGAAGGCACAGACAACAGGAAGAUCCAAGUGCAUCCACUCAAUACCUGGGGACCAAACCGAGGGCCUUCUGCAUGCCUGCUCAACCUCUGAGCUACACCUGCAGUUCCAAUUCAUAUUCGCAUGUAUUAAGAAAUGUAAGCAUCCGUGUCAUAGUAUAAUUCCAAGAAUUCAUGGCUAUUGGACUGUGGGAAGAAUUUCUUAGAAAAUCAACUUUUACAAAAGAACAAUAACAGGAAUGAAUUGCAGCUUAUUUUGCAAAACAGAAGAGCAAGUGACAAAAUGCUACUGUGGGUCUUAAAGAGUUAAUGCUGAUUGCUAACUUGACAGCAUCUAAAGUCACCUAGGCGACAGUCUCUGGGCCUGUCUCUGAGGGAGUUCGAGACUGGAUUAACUGAGGU